GCCUCCUUGUUAGGGGCUGCGGGGAGCGAUAAUUGGGGUGGUUAGCUGGAGAACAUCUGCGAGGGUCCUCACAUGAUGAACAGACCUGAAGACCCAGAGAUAGUCGUUAUCCAGUGAGAUGAGGGGGC
This 128-nucleotide microRNA precursor is filed under the name Callithrix jacchus (white-tufted-ear marmoset). Its description in RNAcentral is "microRNA cja-mir-9943 precursor". Lineage: Eukaryota; Metazoa; Chordata; Mammalia; Primates; Cebidae. The record is from miRBase by way of RNAcentral.